This 640-nucleotide ribosomal RNA is filed under the name Jaxea nocturna. Its description in RNAcentral is "partial 16S ribosomal RNA". It matches the Rfam family "Bacterial large subunit ribosomal RNA", at positions 1796 to 2719 of the family's 2925-position model. Lineage: Eukaryota; Metazoa; Arthropoda; Malacostraca; Decapoda; Laomediidae. The record is from RNAcentral.
CCGCCUGUUUAACAAAACAUGUCCGUGUGAGAGAAAUACAAGGUCUGGCCUGCCCACUGAUUGUUUAAAGGGCCGCGGUAAAUUGACCGUGCGAAGGUAGCGUAAUCAUUAGUCUUUUAAUAGGGGACUGGUAUGAAUGGUUGUACAAGAAUUUAACUGUCUUUGUUUUGUAGAUUGAAAUUAACUUUUAAGUUAAAAGGCUUAAAUGUAUCAAGAAGACGAUAAGACCCUAUAAAGCUUUACAUUAUUACUUUGCUAGAAGAAAAUUAGUUAAAUAAAUUCUAUAAGUGUUAAGAUGUUUUGCUGGGGCGGCAAAGAUAUAUUUUAAAAACUGUCUUUAUAUUUAACACGUAUUUGUGUAAUUUUAUUGAUCCUUAAUAGAGAUUAUAAGAUUAAGUUACUUUAGGGAUAACAGCGUAAUCUUUCUUGAGAGUUCAAAUCGAGAGAAAGGUUUGCGACCUCGAUGUUGAAUUAAGGUUCCUCUUUGGUGUAGCAGUUAAAGUAGGAGGUCUGUUCGACCUUUAAAUCCUUACAUGAUUUGAGUUCAGACCGGCGAAAGCCAGGUUGGUUUCUAUCUCUUGAGUAAGAAAAGGCUUUUUUAGUACGAAAGGAUUGAGAAGCGAAAAUAAUUUAUUAAUUA